GUGUCAGCAGCCGCGGUAAUACGUAGGUGUCGAGCGUUGUCCGGAUUUAUUGGGCGUAAAGCGCCCGCAGGCGGCUUGCCAAGUUCGAAGUGAAAUCUCCCGGCUUAACUGGGAGGGUGCUCCGAAAACUGGCAGGCUUGAGUCAUGGAGAGGGAUGUGGAAUUCCCGGUGUAGUGGUGAAAUGCGUAGAUAUCGGGAGGAACACCAGUGGCGAAGGCGGCAUCCUGGCCAUGUACUGACGCUCAGGGGCGAAAGCGUGGGGAGCAAACCGGAUUAGAUACCCGGGUAGUCCACGCCGUAAACGAUGAGUACUAGGUGUAGGGGGUAUCGACCCCCUCUGUGCCGAAGCUAACGCGAUAAGUACUCCGCCUGGGGACUACGGCCGCAAGGCUAAA
RNAcentral lists this ribosomal RNA (395 nucleotides) under uncultured bacterium. Its description in RNAcentral is "bacterial SSU rRNA". It matches the Rfam family "Bacterial small subunit ribosomal RNA", at positions 505 to 898 of the family's 1533-position model. The record is from RNAcentral.